CCCGGAGUCGGUGGGGUCCAGGCAGGGUUUUUCCCUCCCUUCUCCAGCCGUCGGGGUCGCGCCAGACUGGGGAAGAGCCGCGCCUGGGGCUGGGGGCAGGACGGCAGGGCCAGAAGGACACGUGAAACGGAAGGGGGCUGCAUGGCCCCGGGGAAGAAGGGCAGGAAAGCGGUUCUGGGAGGGCAGAGCCUGGGCCUCCAGAGGCAGUAGAAGGGCGGGCGCCCUGGCACCAGCCCUUAGGUACAAAGAGACGAGAGGCGCCCAGUGCCUCGGGCCCGCCCCGUCCCCCAACUCUGGGGGUCGCCUCCGGAGCCUUGCUGGACCCAGCCUGAAUCUGUGGACACCCGGAAUGCCAUUCUCCAGUCUCGACAGCCCCGGAACCUCCUGUUUGUUCCUCAGUGACCCUCCCCACCCCCCAACCACCACCACGUUUCUCUUCUGGUCCAUACAGCUUCCUUCCUGGCUCAGAAGUCGGAGGGGGGAACCCCGACUUGAAAUUCCCGCCUCCCCUCUAACUCCUGGCCCUCACCGCGCCAAACCACUGAGAUGCGGCAGCCGAGAAACGCUGACUGCAGACUGGGGGCUGCUCCCCUCCCACGAAACUCCCGGCUGGGUCCGGGGCCCCGCUGCCACCCCCGCCCCGCCGCCCGCGCCGGACUGGCACCGGGAACCCGAGGGCAGGUGUGCGGCCUGCAGGGGACCUCCUGGAGAGACGGGGGCCGGGGCGGGGGGCGGGGGCAUCCCAGAUCCGCACGUACAGACUUAAAUCUCAGGCGACCAGCUAGACCUUAGUUGAGAGGAGAAAGUGGCAGGAGUUAAUCCCUCCUCGGGAGGACUGUGUACCUGGGGCUGGGGACAGCGAUUCUGAGUGACAGCCAGGUGCCCGGACUGGCUGGGCCACGUGCGCUCCGGGGCAGCUGCGGGAGAGUUAGAUGCUUGCCGCGCGUGGAGGGAGAGGGCUUCUGGCGGAAGAAAGGCACGGCUCUGUGUGGGCGGGGUCCUGAAUGAGUGGGUCUGGGGGCCUGUUUUGGAAGGGGGAGGGCUGAGCUGGAAGCGGAGCGACAGCCUGCGCUGGGCGCCCACCUCUUCCCCGCCCUCCCUCCCUUCCCCGGGCUGCCCCCGCUUCCCUCGAAAAACCCGCCGCCCAGGAAACCGCUGGGGGCGCACAGACCGCAGCCCCCCCGCCCGCCGCCCCCCGGCGCCCCCACCGCGACCGCCCAACCCACCUGAAGGGGCCGUGGCUGCCAGGGUUGCCCCCUCCCGCCGACUCCCCCCACACCUGCGGGCGCACUAUUUAUAACUCGGCGCCUAUUCCGGGCCUCUGGGCGGGAGCCGGCUGCGCCUCAGCGCUAAUCGUCUCCGGGAUCUCUGCGCCCCCCAGGGCCGGGGGGGAUAAAUUUAGCCUCAGGAAGCUCGGGGAACAUUUUCCAAAACUCCACGUCCCGCAGAAGGCGAAACAGAACCCCUCUGCCCUCAGCCUCCCUCCCGCCAACCGGCAGGCGGCGCAGGUGUCUCGGCUGCUCGUACCCAGCUGGGAUCGAGGGGUGGGUGGCGGCCGAGAAGCUGGCACAGGUGAAGGACGGAAGGUCCUGGGGGCGGCGGCCAGAGGGGCGGGAGGACGGCCGGAAGAACGGCCAAAGGCCGGAGUAAAAAGUCUCGGCUGGCAGUGACUGAGAAAGGGGUUGGGGACUUCUGCCUUUCGAAGGGGAAAUAACUCCUGUGCAAACGAGAUGCAAGUAGGGACUCCGGGAAGAUCGGGGAGAUGGUGGUGGCCUUGGGGGUCCACGCUCCGGCGUGGGGGCAGCGACUGCCACACCCCUCUUCCCAAGCGCUUCUGAGCGUUGCUGCGAGAACUCAGGACCCCACCGAGAUCUUUACUAUAAUAGCCAGAUGAGUGCGGGCGGCUCCUCCGACCACUUCGCCAGGACCCCUCUCCUCCACCUGCCUCUCGCACACCAUGGAGGGUCUUCUAUCGACGCCUGAAGGUCGCCAAGCUACCUGGAUAAAGACUACCUUGAGCGGGAGUACUAUGGAGAACCACGCUGCCGCAGGAAAGAGGGAGCAGGCUCCGUGUGUGCCCCCUGCGGAGUCCCUGCCUCGUCGGAGGGGAAAAACCAGGGGGCAGCGCCGUGUGGAGACCAUGUUAGCAACUCCGAGAAUUCCUCCGGGCUCAGGGUGCCUGGCUGGCUCAGUCCGCAGAGUGCAUGAUUCUCGGUCUCGGGGUUGUGAGUUCGAGCCCCAUGUUGGGGCCAGAUAUUACUGAAAAAUAGAAAAACUCUUUAAAAAAAAAAAAAAAAAAAGGAAUGUGUAUGCGCGCAGGCCAGCCCUUCUCUCCACUGCUCUUGCUAUUAAGCCUGCCCUGAGCCACUGGCACGUCACGACCUGCCUCACACCCACCCCAGCUCAUAGCCCGCAUCUUCUAAUCACAGCUAUGUUCCCAUUGUUUUGUUUACAUUUUAUUUCCUGUCUCUGCCCACUGGAACGGAAGCUCCGUGAGUCCUGGGGCCUGUUUUGCUCACCGCGGUGGUGCCGGGAGCACAGGGAUUGGCACACAGCGGGUGCUCCCUAACAUUUGUUGCACGAACGAGGGAAGAGGAGGGCGAGGCGCGUGCAGCACUCCCUCCCGAAUGCCCUCCCAGGGGCUGCUGAAUCUGAGCCACCCCAGCGGGGAGAGUGGUCGUGGGGGGGGGGGGUCACUUCUCACCAGAACUGCUUACUCUAGGUAUGGGUCACCUUUACCAAGAGAGACAAAACACACCCAGAGGAAAAGGAGUUCACUAACAAGUCUGGGAAAAGCUGGUCCCUGGGGUGAGGAGAGAGUCCCACACACCGUCUCCAGGCUUGUGCCCCAGGACGGAAGGGAGGGGGCAACAACUGGCCCCAAGAGGCUCUGCGGUUGUGGGGGGCUGAGUGGGCGUGUCGGGAAGUGUGAGCAAGACGGUGUCAGUGGCUGACGCGUGGCCACUGCUGGGCGUGAUUCAGCGGCAGCGUGUGUUUCGGCUGCCGAGGGGAAGAGAGGGAGCGGUGCUCAUUCUGGCUGUUUGUGCUUGUGCACGGUGACAAGCCUGAGGAACCUGCGCGGCCACCCGGGUGCCUUUCUCUUCCAGCCUCAUGUGUGACCAGGGGGAGCGGGGCCCGACUUCCCGUGGGCUUGGGGCUAGCAAGGGCCCAGGGCUUCUCCCAAGAUCCUCAAGGCAGGGAGCUGGCCAGGCCACGUCUUCUAUUUGAGUUCCUGGCUUAAGGCGCGGGACCCCACCCAAGCCGGACCCCUCCCUACCCACCGGUUGGGAGGAACCUGGGCUUUCCACCCUCCACCCUCCCCAACCAGUGAGUCGGAAAACCUGGUUUUCGGUGUGGGUUGUAUCCAGGACAACCUCCUUCCCUCCCUUCUUUAAAAAUGAUUUUUUUGUAAUGUUUAUUUUUAGAGAGAGAGAGAGAGAGAGAGAGAGAGAGGCAGAGUGUGAGUGGGGGAGGGGCAGCAGAAUCCAAAGCCAGCUCCCAGCUGUUAGCACAGAGCCUGCCGAGGGUCUCGCACCCAUGAACCGCAAGAUCAUGACCUGAGUCGGACGCUCAACCGACCAGGCCGCCCCGGCGCCCAUCUCCUUCCCUCCCUGGUCUGAACGCUGGCUCUGGCUCCAAGACCCUUUCAGUGCUGAAUUGUUUGGAGUCCCUUUUAGACAUUUAGCACGUUUGGCCUCAAGGCCUAUUUAUUUUAUAUAGAACAUCUAUAUCCUUAUUUUUUGUUUACAUCUUAUUUCCUGCCUCUGCCCAGCAGAACGUAAGCUCUGUGAGUACAGGGGCCUGUUUUGUUCACUGAUGUGUUCGGAGCACCAGGAUUGGCACACAGCAGAUGGUAUAUGUAUAUACAUACAUACAUAUAUAUAUAUAUAUAUACAUAUACAUUUAUGCACACACAUGCACGCACACACAGUUUAGUGAUCCUUAGCCCACUCCUGGCACUGAGUACAGGAAAAUCAACCAUCUGGGCCAGUGGGCUCACGGUGCGGGUCCCGCGGCAGUCUUAUCCGGGUCCCGGCCAGCAGCCAGGCAGCUCCCGUGCACCUGCACCGGAGGUCCAGCAGAGGUGGGGGCGGGAACGGAGGCUGGCACAUGGCACAAACUCGAAGCAGGGUCCAUA
Molecule: RNA transcript, 4138 nt
Organism: Neofelis nebulosa (Clouded leopard)
Lineage: Eukaryota; Metazoa; Chordata; Mammalia; Carnivora; Felidae
Gene name: atrophin-1-like
Exons: 2
Source: RefSeq, a predicted model, not a curated record